Hyla sarda is the source of this 593-nucleotide long non-coding RNA. RefSeq lists it as uncharacterized. The record is from RefSeq and is a predicted model, not a curated record. The transcript is spliced from 3 exons. Lineage: Eukaryota; Metazoa; Chordata; Amphibia; Anura; Hylidae.
CAAAAUUAUUAUACAAAACAGACACAGCACGUCAGUCAGCCAAUGCCAAUGUUUCUACCUAGCCUGAUGAAGCCCAGAGGGAGCAGUCACAGCCCAGUGUCUCCACGAAAAUGCCACUGAACUCGAAAGUGCCCCAAAAAGCUAAUAAAAUGUGAUGAAAAAUGAUGAAACAAGGCAGAAAACAGCUGUGUCUAAAUCCAUCCAGCCAGCUGGGAACCUAGAAUGAGGACUGCUGCAGCUGGACCGAGAGCACGCUGAAUCUUUUAUGCCUAUCCUGCUCCUGUGAUACUGAAGAAGAAUACAAAGAUGUGUCUUUGGUCUCCAGCGCCAGUUUUCUUUCAACCAUCUAACUUUUUGAUUAUGGAAGCAGAACACAAAGCAGUUAUUUGUAAGCUGAAUUGUAAAAAUGCAGGAAUUUAUCAGCAAUAAAGGAGAUUUGCCAAUGCAGCAGACAUUACAAAGUUUAAAGAACCCAAGAAGUAACAUCUGAAGAGCUGAAAUGACGUUAAUAUUGAUUUUUUGAUAACAGCCAUGCUUGACAUCAGUUUGCAGGUCAGUGAACUGAUGAAGCAUUUUCUUGUAAUGAGUCAAAG